CGACCCCUCAAGCCUGGCUUGGUGUUGGGCCACGCCGCGUCCACGGCGGGCCCUAAAGGUAGCGGCGGUGCUGUCGAGCCCUAAGCGUAGUAGUAGAUCCUCGCUAUAGGGAGCCCGGCGGUCGCUAGCCGUCAACCCCCACACUCCUAAGU
This 152-nucleotide unclassified non-coding RNA is filed under the name uncultured Leotiomycetes. Its description in RNAcentral is "sequence contains ITS2". Lineage: Eukaryota; Fungi; Ascomycota; Leotiomycetes. The record is from RNAcentral.